Molecule: ribosomal RNA, 450 nt
Filed under: uncultured bacterium
Lineage: Bacteria
Description: bacterial SSU rRNA
Rfam family: Bacterial small subunit ribosomal RNA
Source: RNAcentral
GUGAGGAAUUUUCCGCAAUGGGCGCAAGCCUGACGGAGCGACGCCGCGUGAGGGAUGACGGCCUUCGGGUUGUAAACUUCUUUUAUCGGGGAAAAAGGUGAUCGUGCUCAUACCACGGUCAUUUGAUGGUACUCGGUGAAUAAGCCCCGGCUAACUACGUGCCAGCAGCCGCGGUAAUACGUAGGGGGCGAGCGUUGUCCGGAGUUACUGGGCGUAAAGGGCGUGUAGGCGGUUGGGUAAGUCUUGUGUGAAAUGCUCUGGCUCAACCAGAGCGCUGCGCAGGAUACUGCCUGACUGGAAUUCGGAAGGGGUGACUGGAAUUCCCGGUGUAACGGUGAAAUGUGUAGAUAUCGGGAGGAACACCUGUGGCGAAGGCGGGUCACUGGUCCGACAUUGACGCUGAGACGCGAAAGCGUGGGGAGCAAACAGGAUUAGAAACCCCAGUAGUCC